UACGAAGGGAGCUAGCGUUGUUCGGAAUCACUGGGCGUAAAGCGCACGUAGGCGGAUGUGUCAGUCAGGGGUGAAAUCCCGGAGCUCAACUUCGGAACUGCCUUUGAUACAGCACAUCUGGAGUCCGGAAGAGGUGGGUGGAAUUCCUAGUGUAGAGGUGAAAUUCGUAGAUAUUAGGAAGAACACCAGUGGCGAAGGCGGCUCACUGGCCCGGUACUGACGCUCAGGCACGAAAGCGUGGGGAGCAAACAGG
Molecule: ribosomal RNA, 253 nt
Filed under: uncultured bacterium
Lineage: Bacteria
Description: partial 16S ribosomal RNA
Rfam family: Bacterial small subunit ribosomal RNA
Source: RNAcentral